Molecule: ribosomal RNA, 427 nt
Filed under: uncultured bacterium
Lineage: Bacteria
Description: bacterial SSU rRNA
Rfam family: Bacterial small subunit ribosomal RNA
Source: RNAcentral
UAAGAGGCGUAGUUAGUAUCGAAUAGUCGGGUGUACGAGUACACGAGCGGCGGACGGGUGAGUAACGCGUGGGAAUCUACCCCAAACUGAGGGAUAAGCAUCGGAAACGGUGUCUAAUACCGCAUAUGGUCUUCGGAUUUAAAGCUUUCGGCGGUUUUGGGGAAGAGCCCGCGUAAGAUUAGCUAGUUGGUGAGGUAAUGGCUCACCAAGGCGACGAUCUUUAACUGGUUUGAGAGGAUGAUCAGUCACACUGGAACUGAGACACGGUCCAGACUCCUACGGGAGGCAGCAGUGAGGAAUUUUCCACAAUGGGCGAAAGCCUGAUGGAGCAACGCCGCGUGCAGGAUGAAGGCUUUAGGGUUGUAAACUGCUUUUAUAUGUGACGAAUAUGACGGUAGCAUAUGAAUAAGGAUCGGCUAACUCCGUG